This is a long non-coding RNA of Choloepus didactylus (southern two-toed sloth), 5453 nucleotides long. RefSeq lists it as uncharacterized. The record is from RefSeq and is a predicted model, not a curated record. NCBI's taxonomy places the organism in Eukaryota, Metazoa, Chordata, Mammalia, Pilosa, Megalonychidae. The transcript has 2 exons.
AAGACUGGGAGAGGUCUUGUUUCUGCCUUUUGUUUUUUCCUGAGCUCCUGGCAUGAAGGAAAUCUCUGUGAAAACACUAGUUGAACACAAGCUAAGGAAUGGAGACUUCUGUGGUACCUUGACAAGGAACACAGACUUGCAAAAACAGCUUUAUAAAUAUCACUAAGCCUACAGUGAUUGGGGAAAAAAGAGGCAUACUCUGGGGAAGGGGAGAAUCUGAUGGCCUGAGUUAACACAUUAAAAUAUUUAAAUGUCCAGAUUUCAGCAGAAAAUCACAAGGCACACAGAGGAAUAGCAAAGGAUGGCCCUUUCGAAGGAACAAACUAAAGCAACAGAAAACAUCUCUGGGGAAGCCCAGAUACUGCAAUUACUAAUUACAGACACUGAGACAACUGUGCUGAAUAUGCUCGAUGAGCUAAGUGAAAAUAUGGGCGAAAAACUGAAGGAAAUCAGGAAAUCGAUACAUGAAGCAAAAGAGAAUUUCAGUAAAGACAUAGGAAUGUUAAAAAAAUAACUGAACAGAAAUUCUGGAGCUGAAAAGUAUAACUGAGAUAAAAAAAUUCCUUGGAGGGGUUCAUCAGCAGGCUUGAACUGGCAGAAGAAUCAGCAAAUUUGAAGAACUACCCAGACUGAGGAACACAAAGAAAAAGAAUAAAGAAAAAGAAUGAAGAAAAGUGAGUGGAACCUAGGGGACCUGUGGGACACCACAGAGCACACGAACACAGAUGCACAGGAGCCCCAGAAGGAGAAAAGAAAGAGAAAAGGGCAGGAAGGAUAUUCAAAGAAAUAUGGCUCAAAACACCAAAUUGACCAAUGACUUGAAUAUACAUAUCUAAGAACUGAACCGCUCCAAUCAGGACAGACUCAAAGACAGUCACAACAAGACACAUUUACUCAAACCGUCAAGUGCCAAAGACCAAAUCCUAAAAGCAGCAAGAGAGGACUCGUCAUCGACAAAGGAUCCUCAGUAAGAGUUACCAACUUCUCAUCAGGAACCAUUUAAGUGCUGAAGGAAAAACUGUCAACAAAGUACACAUCUGCAAAACUGUCUUUUAAAAUGAGGGGGAAAUAAAGACAUUUCCAGGUUAAAGAAAAAGAAAAGCUGAGGGAAUUUGUCACCAGCACACCUGACCUACAAGGACAGCACGGUCCCCCAGGCGGAGAGGAAAGGAAACUAGACACGACUUCAAGUCCUAGAAGACGUAAUUACCCACAGGUGGCAGCAGGAGGAGCCCCGGGCACCCGCACGGCCGACAAGGCGACGCUCCCGGGUGGCGGCAAGUAGCAGCCAGCACAAACCCACCCCCCGGUGCGCCCACAUCCUGCCUGGGGUCCCUGGGCCCCCAGCCCCUGCACAGUAGCAGCAGCCCGGUACACACACUGCGGCGAGGAAGGGAUGCGACUGUGAGCGCGGCAUCAUGAGGAAUAACCGGUCGCUCUCCACCCUGGCUGCGGCAGUGCUGGGAUUACCAUGGGGUCUUGGCUGGAAACUGGGGAAGUUCUAAUGAGGAUUCUGGAACUUGGGGUUUUGCCAUUAAUUACAUCCAGCACGGCUGCAGGUUCCAGCAUCUCCGGGAAAGCUGGUCUCGUGCUGUUGUGCUGUUGUGCUGUUGUGUGUUAUUCCUGUGCUCUGUGACUAGGCAUCGUGCUGGUGCUGAGAGUGGUGACAUCAGCAGGACCCAGCACGCCUGAAGUCGGUUCCUGGGGAGCCUGUCCAGGCCUGCUGUCAGCAGUACAAAACCAAGCGGGAAGCAGGGAGGCACCCACCUGAACGGGGGUGAACGUCACAGAUGAGCCCAUCACACUUGUCGUCACGACGGCAAUUUCCAGGAACAACGCAAAAGAAUACAGAACAGUGGGCUGUAUUCAGAUGGCAAAAACAUCCCGGGCUUGACUGACUUUUGCCUCAUCUCUGGAAUUGUCAUUGGAAGAUGGGAGAAAAGGGACAGAUUCUGCUGGAUUUCUUUAAUACUUUGAAUGAUUGCAUCCCCCAAAAUCAUCCAGAUCAUGAUGUGUUACAGGCCACUCGGUAUCCUGCUCCUGACUGCUGGGGACAGCACGGCAGCUGAAGCUGGGCAGCAGGCCGCAGGCCGGGCCUCACACAGCCACAGUCGUUCCCAUCCGCCGCGGGAACAGCCUGGGCUCUCCUGAUGGCCCACGAUCUCCUCCGGUUCGGCACCUUCUGCCAGGCUGAAGGAAAGCAGCAGGUGGACACGAGACUCACCAUGUCUGUGUUACCUGGGGUGCUACAAGGCAGCGGCAGCUGCGGCCACCGCACAGGUGAGUGACUUGGGCUUGGGCACUGGGCGGAAAAUCACCAUCAGUGUCACAGCCACGGCCACCAGCACAGGAGCUGCUGGCCCCGGCCGCCUGGGGACCAUGGUGACCAGCACCUGAUCACUGCGACCGGCCACGGGGAAUGUACCUGCAUCGUGGAGAAGCUAUGCGAGGUGCUGGAGCCGCUGGACACUUCACCGUGAAGCCCUGGGAGGCACCGUGUUUGUUCAUGAAGGCCCAGAGGCCAGGAAGCCCCACCUCGGCGGGGCUGUGCCCUGGAGACGGGUCCGGCACCGGCUCGUUGACCUCAGUCCUAGAGCCCCGGCCUCGGAGGACAGGGGGUGGCGAAGGACAGCUCCGUGACGGCCAGCUCAGCCAGUGAGAACGUUAAUUAGGAGAAACUGGACAUCUGAUCUGAUACAUGGACCUCCAGAUUAUUCUCUGUACUUGGAUUCACAGCUUUUGUUCUUUGGGUUUGGGGGUCGGGGGGUGGGAUAGGAUGAAAGGAAAUUGAUGAAAAGGAAAGCUGUAUUGUCUGGGAUUUUUUUCAGUUCUGCAAGAGACAAAGUUUGGAAGUAUAUAAAGUAACAGCUGUUGGAAUUAGGUAAUGGAUGUGGGAGAGAAAUUGCUUUCUCAUACAGGGACCAGCUUUUGGGGUUUAAAAUAUGUAUAUAUAUAAAUACACUGUCAACUGGAUGCAAAUUUUUACUCAGCCUUCUAUUGGCUGUGAUUUCCUUUGAACUCGCACAUUAUUAUAGAUAACACUUCUUAACAGACUCCUAGCUAAUGUGCCAAACUGUGUUUUGAAUUCAUCUCCAGCCAACUACAGAGAAACUAUCUGAAAGAAAAUGGACCAGCACAGUUCUGUGGUAACAGCUUCACGACAGGCGCGAGCUUUGGUGGGAAGGGAGAUGGGUCCCCCCCCACGUGCUGUCGGGUGCUGGUGACAGUGGACAGUCUUCAGUAUGGGGGUGGGCGUGUGUUUACAUGUUUACUUUCUAUAUAUAAUUUCCCAGACGGAUGAGAACUGAACUGUCCCUGUGAAAUACGGAGCUCUGCCGGCACCAGGACGGGAAGUCGUCUUGUUUGGAUUGUGUCACACACGUGCACCAGGCCCAAAGCAGUGAGGGUCCGUGACACACCGAGGAGGCGCAGCCCGAGUCUCGCUGCUGGAAGGGACCCCCGUCAGCUCCUCACAGUCCCACGGACACGGUGUCACUCGCCUAAGGCUGGACUGCCCUCUCCCGGCUGGAAGGCUCGCUCUCCCAGGGUCAGUGAUGCCCGGUGAAGCUGCUGGCCCUGACUGCCCAGGCGCUUUAGUGCCCACCAGGGCCCAGAGAGCACAGAAACUCCGGCGACGCAGCGCGUCACUCCAGAGUCUGGGGGCUGAGCAAGCCACACCGACCAGAAGAGAGGUGUCCUUCCCCCAUGUUCCGGUUUGCUAAUGCUGCUGUUAUUCCAAAUACCAGAAAUGGACUGGCUUUCAUAAAGGGGGGUUAUUUGGUUAGAAAUUUACAGUCCUAAGGCCAUAAAGUGUCCAAACCGAGGCAUUAACAAGAGGAACCUUCACUGAAGAGCGCCGAUGGCUCUGGAACACUCUCUCAGCUGGGAAGGCUCGUGGCUGGCGUCUGCUCUUCCCAGGCUGCAUUUUAAAACGGCUUUCUCCAAAAUGUCUCUGGGCUCGUCUCAGCCUCUUCAGCUCCUCUGCAUCUAACCAUCUGGGGUCCUCUGAGCUUCUCUUAGCAUGGCCUCUCCACACGUCCUUCUGUCCGCGUCGCCAAGCAUCAGCUGUCAGUGGCCCUCCCCAGAUGCCCGCCUCUGCUCCCUGCGUGAGCUCCCUUUAAGGACACCUGCCCUGAAUGGGCGGGGUCAAGUCUCCACGGAAACAUUCAGUCGAGAGGUCACACCCUAAUCAAAAAUUAAUCAGUCUGCCCCCACAAGACUGCAUAAAAGAAUAUGGCUUUUUCUGGGGGACAUAAUAUAUGCAAACCAGCACACCUGGGUUCCUGCAGCGUGAAUCCCAGGUCGGUGGAGAGCCCUCCAAGGUCCAUCCUGCCCCAUCCAGGGUCGGGGGCUCUAACUGGCCGUCGUGACUCUGCUCGUUAGAAUCCCCCACUUGUCAUUCUGCUACUUUACAGAGAUGGCUCUUUAAAGUCUGCUUUGGCUCCCAUCUCGUAAAUAACGCCGAACAUAAACUCGUACUUAAACUGAGAGAACAGUCGCAAUUCUGCAGCACUGAAUAGCCAACCGAGACCUGUGCUUUUUUAUUUAAGAAUCCAGAAAUUGUGCCAAAGACUUCAGAAAAGUAAAUAAAUAAAUGCUCAGUCUUAACCACCUGCACCUGAAAUCUACAGAGCAUGAUGCCAAACUGGAAUGUAAACAUCUUAAAUAUUGACCAAGGAUUCCAACUGGAUUUCAAAAUGCAAAUAGUGGUGGUGUUUAUAGGGACUAAAUCUAAAUGUAAAUGAGAAAAAAAAGUAAAAUCAAAUCAGUCAUCAAAACCCUCCCAACAAAGAAAAACCCAGGGCAGAUGGCUUCACUGAUGAGUUCAUCCAAACAUUCCAAGAAGAAUUAACACUGAUCCUGCUGAAACUCUUCUAAAAAAUAGAACAGAGGGGGAGACAUCCUAACUCAUUGUGUGAGGCUAGUAUGAAAUGAUACCAGAGCCAGAUAAAGACAUCAGAAGAAAAAAAUUACAAACCAGUAACCCUUACGAAAUAGAUGCAAAAACCCUCAACAAGAUACUGGCACACCAACUCCAACAGUAUAUUAAAAAGAUUGUACACCAUGACCAAGUGGGAUUUAUCCCAGGAAUGCAAGGGUGGCUCAACAUAAAGUCAAUCAGUGUAAUAUACCACAUGAAUAGAACAAAGAGGAAAAAGCACAUAAUCAUCUCAAUCGAUACAGAGAAAGUAUCUGAAGAAAUCCAGUAUCCUCUCAUGCUAAGAAUUUUCAGAAAAAUAGGAUUAAAAGGGAACUUCCUAAAAACAAUAAUGGGCAUUUAUGAAAAACCCACAGCUACCAUUACACUCAAUUGAAACACUGAAAGCUUUCCCCUAAGAUCAGAAACAAGACAAGGAUACCCACUUUCACCACUGCUAUUCAACACUGUACUAGAAGAUUUAGCCAGAACAAUUGGGAUGACAAAAAAAAAAAACCGGCAUCCAAAUUGGAAA